Molecule: ribosomal RNA, 206 nt
Filed under: uncultured bacterium
Lineage: Bacteria
Description: partial 16S ribosomal RNA
Rfam family: Bacterial small subunit ribosomal RNA
Source: RNAcentral
AGCGUAGGCGGAUAGUUAAGUCAGAGGUGAAAGCCCAGGGCUCAACCUUGGAAUUGCCUUUGAUACUGGCCAUCUUGAGUAUGGGAGAGGUUAGCGGAACUCCGAGUGUAGAGGUGAAAUUCGUAGAUAUUCGGAAGAACACCAGUGGCGAAGGCGGCUAACUGCCCAUUACUGACGCUGAGGCUCGAAAGCGUGGGGAGCAAACA